This 163-nucleotide ribosomal RNA is filed under the name Lysimachia clethroides. Its description in RNAcentral is "5.8S ribosomal RNA". It matches the Rfam family "5.8S ribosomal RNA". Rfam says of the family: 5.8S ribosomal RNA (5.8S rRNA) is a component of the large subunit of the eukaryotic ribosome. It is transcribed by RNA polymerase I as part of the 45S precursor that also contains 18S and 28S rRNA. Lineage: Eukaryota; Viridiplantae; Streptophyta; Magnoliopsida; Ericales; Primulaceae. The record is from RNAcentral.
AAAACGACUCUCGGCAACGGAUAUCUAGGCUCUCGCAUCGAUGAAGAACGUAGCAAAAUGCGAUACUUGGUGUGAAUUGCAGAAUCCCGUGAACCAUCGAGUUUUUGAACGCAAGUUGCGCCCGAAGCCAUUAGGCCGAGGCACGUCUGCCUGGGCGUCUCAC